Molecule: ribosomal RNA, 1651 nt
Filed under: Lactobacillus johnsonii DPC 6026
Lineage: Bacteria; Bacillati; Bacillota; Bacilli; Lactobacillales; Lactobacillaceae
Description: 16S ribosomal RNA
Rfam family: Bacterial small subunit ribosomal RNA
Source: RNAcentral
GAGCUAAACGAUAAAAAGCUCAUUUUCAAAAGGAAAAUGAGAGUUUGAUCCUGGCUCAGGACGAACGCUGGCGGCGUGCCUAAUACAUGCAAGUCGAGCGAGCUUGCCUAGAUGAUUUUGGUGCUUGCACUAAAUGAAACUAGAUACAAGCGAGCGGCGGACGGGUGAGUAACACGUGGGUAACCUGCCCAAGAGACUGGGAUAACACCUGGAAACAGAUGCUAAUACCGGAUAACAACACUAGACGCAUGUCUAGAGUUUGAAAGAUGGUUCUGCUAUCACUCUUGGAUGGACCUGCGGUGCAUUAGCUAGUUGGUAAGGUAACGGCUUACCAAGGCAAUGAUGCAUAGCCGAGUUGAGAGACUGAUCGGCCACAUUGGGACUGAGACACGGCCCAAACUCCUACGGGAGGCAGCAGUAGGGAAUCUUCCACAAUGGACGAAAGUCUGAUGGAGCAACGCCGCGUGAGUGAAGAAGGGUUUCGGCUCGUAAAGCUCUGUUGGUAGUGAAGAAAGAUAGAGGUAGUAACUGGCCUUUAUUUGACGGUAAUUACUUAGAAAGUCACGGCUAACUACGUGCCAGCAGCCGCGGUAAUACGUAGGUGGCAAGCGUUGUCCGGAUUUAUUGGGCGUAAAGCGAGUGCAGGCGGUUCAAUAAGUCUGAUGUGAAAGCCUUCGGCUCAACCGGAGAAUUGCAUCAGAAACUGUUGAACUUGAGUGCAGAAGAGGAGAGUGGAACUCCAUGUGUAGCGGUGGAAUGCGUAGAUAUAUGGAAGAACACCAGUGGCGAAGGCGGCUCUCUGGUCUGCAACUGACGCUGAGGCUCGAAAGCAUGGGUAGCGAACAGGAUUAGAUACCCUGGUAGUCCAUGCCGUAAACGAUGAGUGCUAAGUGUUGGGAGGUUUCCGCCUCUCAGUGCUGCAGCUAACGCAUUAAGCACUCCGCCUGGGGAGUACGACCGCAAGGUUGAAACUCAAAGGAAUUGACGGGGGCCCGCACAAGCGGUGGAGCAUGUGGUUUAAUUCGAAGCAACGCGAAGAACCUUACCAGGUCUUGACAUCCAGUGCAAACCUAAGAGAUUAGGUGUUCCCUUCGGGGACGCUGAGACAGGUGGUGCAUGGCUGUCGUCAGCUCGUGUCGUGAGAUGUUGGGUUAAGUCCCGCAACGAGCGCAACCCUUGUCAUUAGUUGCCAUCAUUAAGUUGGGCACUCUAAUGAGACUGCCGGUGACAAACCGGAGGAAGGUGGGGAUGACGUCAAGUCAUCAUGCCCCUUAUGACCUGGGCUACACACGUGCUACAAUGGACGGUACAACGAGAAGCGAACCUGCGAAGGCAAGCGGAUCUCUUAAAGCCGUUCUCAGUUCGGACUGUAGGCUGCAACUCGCCUACACGAAGCUGGAAUCGCUAGUAAUCGCGGAUCAGCACGCCGCGGUGAAUACGUUCCCGGGCCUUGUACACACCGCCCGUCACACCAUGAGAGUCUGUAACACCCAAAGCCGGUGGGAUAACCUUUAUAGGAGUCAGCCGUCUAAGGUAGGACAGAUGAUUAGGGUGAAGUCGUAACAAGGUAGCCGUAGGAGAACCUGCGGCUGGAUCACCUCCUUUCUAAGGAAGGCGAAAGAUGAUGGAGAGUGCGAGAGCACUAAGAGAA